GAAUUGCGAUAAGUAAUGUGAAUUGCGGAAUGCGGUGAAUCAUCGAAUCUUUGAACGCACAUUGCGCCCGCAAGUAUUCUGGCGGGCAUGCCUGUUCGAGCGUCAUUUCAACCAUCAAGCCCCCGGGCUUGCGUUGGGGACCUGCGGCUGCCCGCAGGCCCUGAAAACCAGUGGCGGGCUCGCUGUCACCCCGGUCGUAGUAGUAUCAUCUCGUCCAGGGCGUGGCUGCGGGCUCCGGCCGUUAGACCUUCUCACAUCCAAAGGUUGACCUCGGAUCAGGUAGGAAUACCCGCUGAACUUAA
RNAcentral lists this unclassified non-coding RNA (302 nucleotides) under uncultured Sordariomycetes. RNAcentral describes it as "sequence contains ITS1". The stretch from base 1 to 105 matches the Rfam family "5.8S ribosomal RNA", at positions 50 to 154 of the family's 154-position model. The record is from RNAcentral. Lineage: Eukaryota; Fungi; Ascomycota; Sordariomycetes.